RNAcentral lists this ribosomal RNA (377 nucleotides) under uncultured bacterium. Its description in RNAcentral is "bacterial SSU rRNA". It matches the Rfam family "Bacterial small subunit ribosomal RNA", at positions 521 to 896 of the family's 1533-position model. The record is from RNAcentral.
UAAUACGUAGGGUGCUAGCGUUGUUCGGAAUUAUUGGGCGUAAAGCGCGUGUAGGUGGUUUGUUAAGUCAUGUGUGAAAUCCCUGGGCUCAACCGAGGAAGUGCACGUGAAACUACCAAGCUAGAGGACGGCAGAGGAUGGUGGAAUUCCUAGUGUAGAGGUGAAAUUCGUAGAUAUUAGGAGGAAUACCGGCGGCGAAGGCGGCCAUCUGGGCCGUUCCUGACACUGAGACGCGAAAGCGUGGGUAGCAAACAGGAUUAGAUACCCUGGUAGUCCACGCUGUAAACGAUGGGUACUAGGUGUUGCGGGAAUUGACCCCUGCAGUGCCGACGCUAACGCAUUAAGUACCCCGCCUGGGAAGUACGGCCGCAAGGUUA